GAGUUUGAUCCUGGCUCAGGAUGAACGCUGGCGGCGUGCCUAAUACAUGCAAGUCGAGCGAACGGACGAGAAGCUUGCUUCUCUGAUGUUAGCGGCGGACGGGUGAGUAACACGUGGGUAACCUACCUAUAAGACUGGGAUAACUCCGGGAAACCGGGGCUAAUACCGGAUAACACAUGAAACCGCAUGGUUUCAUGAUGAAAGACGGUCUUGCUGUCACUUAUAGAUGGAUCCGCGCUGCAUUAGCUAGUUGGUAAGGUAACGGCUUACCAAGGCAACGAUGCAUAGCCGACCUGAGAGGGUGAUCGGCCACACUGGAGCUGAGACACGGUCCAGACUCCUACGGGAGGCAGCAGUAGGGAAUCUUCCGCAAUGGGCGAAAGCCUGACGGAGCAACGCCGCGUGAGUGAUGAAGGUCUUCGGAUCGUAAAACUCUGUUAUUAGGGAAGAACAUAUGUGUAAGUAACUGUGCACAUCUUGACGGUACCUAAUCAGAAAGCCACGGCU
Molecule: ribosomal RNA, 507 nt
Filed under: uncultured microorganism
Description: bacterial SSU rRNA
Rfam family: Bacterial small subunit ribosomal RNA
Source: RNAcentral